This 1283-nucleotide long non-coding RNA is filed under the name Vulpes vulpes (red fox). RNAcentral's name for it is "lncRNA (ENSVVUG00000016738.1)". Lineage: Eukaryota; Metazoa; Chordata; Mammalia; Carnivora; Canidae. The record is from RNAcentral.
AUGUCUGUAGUUUAUAAGCCACCUAGUCUACAGUAUUUUUGUUUAGCAGCCCUGAAGUCAAAACCACUGGGAUUAAUAUCAAGGCAGUGGAGAGAACUUCUGGACCUGAACCCAGGCAAGAAUGAAGAUUGUUCUCAGAGUGUCAUGGAUCAUGUAGCCACUCUGUGUGUGACUCUGACGAAGUCUGCAGCAUUUCCCUCUGUUGCUGUGGUUUGCUCACAUGACUCUGCUCUUCUGGUCACUGGGGAGCAUAACUGGCUGCCCAUUUCUCUGUUUGUUUGAGUCACACAGUGUCUUCUCAGAGAUUAUUCAUUCUCAUUUUCUGAGGCAUCUAUAAUACUUUCUGAACACAUUUAGACUUUUGAACUUCACAUAUCAGUGGUACUUCCCUCAAUUUUUGAGAAUUAUCGUAGUGUUUUGAUUUUACUAUUCAGCCAAAUAUGUUAAUAUUAUGAACCAAUUACUACUCAUUUUUAUUACAGUGGAUAAAUGAAUGUUUUUGUAAGGGAAAUAGGGAAUUAUAAUGGCAGAAAUUAAGAAUGUAGAAUUAAUUUAGCUUUAGGUUAAAUGUAUUAUUGUAUUUUUUUUUUUUUUUUUGGUAGAAAAAUCAGUGACAACUUAAUCACUGACUGGUGCUGGACAAAGGCCUAGAAUGUGGGAGUCAUUGCCCUAGAUAAUUCCCCCUUGUUAUGGACAAUUUCAAUGGCACCCAUAAUUCUAACAUGGUGUCAGAACAGGGGCUGUCUUUCUCUAAGGUUUAUCUUCUCUUUGUAGGGCCUUCAUUUAUUUAACAAACACAAUCCAGGCCUGUGCUUUGUGCCAGGGACAUAGAGAUAAAAGUCCUUCCUCCUGAAACUCACAGUCUGUUAAUAGAAAUUUUUUAGUUCACUCACGUUCCUGGAAAUCGCCAUGUUUACUGAAAAUACAUAAAAGAGAAAUGUAAUACGUAUAGUCUUUUAAAGCAGUAAACUACUGCCAAUAUGCAGGAAAAAAUUUUCAAUUCUUUCUAUCUUUAUUAAAUUUUCGUUUAUGACUACUCAUUUUUUUGUAAAUGACCAUCAUUUUUAUGAUGAUUUUUACUGUAAAUUCUUUGGCUCCAUCACUUUUUGACUAUCAUUAUAUUGUUUUCCUUAUUCACCAAACUCUUCACCUGCCUCUACUUUUACUCAGAACUAGUAAGAUAUUUUGCAGUCUUUUUCUCUUUUCUAAUUCCUUCUGUUGGUUGUACUUAUUUUUAUUUUUCCAGUGGUUUCUCACAAAUAAAAAGCUCAAGCAUAAUAACA